Molecule: unclassified non-coding RNA, 253 nt
Filed under: uncultured Alphaproteobacteria bacterium
Lineage: Bacteria; Pseudomonadati; Pseudomonadota; Alphaproteobacteria
Description: contains 16S-23S intergenic spacer region
Rfam family: Bacterial small subunit ribosomal RNA
Source: RNAcentral
UACGGAGGGGGCUAGCGUUGUUCGGAAUUACUGGGCGUAAAGCGCACGUAGGCGGUGGAUCAAGUCAGGCGUGAAAGCCCUGGGCUCAACCUAGGAACUGCGCUUGAUACUGGUCCGCUCGAGUCCAGGAGAGGGUAGCGGAAUUCCCAGUGUAGAGGUGAAAUUCGUAGAUAUUGGGAAGAACACCAGUGGCGAAGGCGGCUACCUGGACUGGUACUGACGCUGAGGUGCGAAAGCGUGGGGAGCAAACAGG